Molecule: non-coding RNA, 421 nt
Organism: Pelobates cultripes (western spadefoot toad)
Lineage: Eukaryota; Metazoa; Chordata; Amphibia; Anura; Pelobatidae
Source: the annotation of a GenBank genome assembly
UAGGGUGAGUGUGUCAGGGUUAGUGUGUCAGGGAUAGUGUGUUAGUGUGUCAGGGUUAGUGUGUCAGGGAUAGUGUGAGUGUGUCAGAGAUAGUGUGAGUGUGUCAGGGAUAGGGUUAGUGUGUCAGGGAUAGGGUUAGUGUGUCAGAGAUAGUGUGUCAGGGAUAGUGUUAGUGUGUCAGAGAUAGUGUGUCAUAGAUAGUGUGUUAGUGUGUCAUAGAUAGGGUUAGUGUGUCAGGGAUAGGGUUAGUGUGUCAGGGAUAGGGUUAGUGUGUCAGGGAUAGUGUGUCAGGGAUAGUGUGUCAGUGUGUCAUAGAUAGUGUGUUAGUGUGUCAGGGAUAGGGUUAGUGUGUCAGGGAUAGGGUUAGUGUGUCAGGGAUAGGGUUAGUGUGUCAGGGAUAGGGAUAGUGUGUCAGGGAUAG